UGGCUCAGAACGAACGCUGGCGGCAGGCCUAACACAUGCAAGUCGAGCGCCCAGCAAUGGGAGCGGCGCACGGGUGAGUAACACGUGGGAACGUGCCCUAUGGUUCGGAAUAACUCAGGGAAACUUGAGCUAAUACCGGAUAAGCCCUACGGGGGAAAGAUUUAUCGCCAUUGGAGCGGCCCGCGUUGGAUUAGCUAGUUGGUGGGGUAAAAGCCUACCAGGGCAACGAUCCAUAGCUGGUUUGAGAGAACGACCAGCCACACUGGGACUGAGACACGGGAAAGACUCCUACG
Molecule: ribosomal RNA, 293 nt
Filed under: uncultured Alphaproteobacteria bacterium
Lineage: Bacteria; Pseudomonadati; Pseudomonadota; Alphaproteobacteria
Description: partial 16S ribosomal RNA
Rfam family: Bacterial small subunit ribosomal RNA
Source: RNAcentral